RNAcentral lists this ribosomal RNA (253 nucleotides) under uncultured bacterium. Its description in RNAcentral is "partial 16S ribosomal RNA". It matches the Rfam family "Bacterial small subunit ribosomal RNA", at positions 524 to 776 of the family's 1533-position model. The record is from RNAcentral.
UACGUAGGGUGCAAGCGUUAAUCGGAAUUACUGGGCGUAAAGCGUGCGCAGGCGGUUGGCCGUGUCCGAUGUGAAAGCCCCGGGCUUAACCUGGGAAUGGCAUUGGAAACUGGCUGGCUGGAGUGUGGCAGAGGGGGGUGGAAUUCCACGUGUAGCAGUGAAAUGCGUAGAGAUGUGGAGGAACACCGAUGGCGAAGGCGGCUUUCUGGGCCCUACCUGACGCUGAGACGCGAAAGCGUGGGGAGCGAACCGG